Molecule: non-coding RNA, 326 nt
Organism: Sesamum indicum (sesame)
Lineage: Eukaryota; Viridiplantae; Streptophyta; Magnoliopsida; Lamiales; Pedaliaceae
Source: RefSeq, a predicted model, not a curated record
CAUUGCUAAGAGGAUAUGAAUCAGACAGGAGACCUGCAAACUUGACAAUGAUGGCAAUUCUGGAUGGCUUCAGAAGGCAUAUUCCGUUGAUUUCAGACCACUCAAUGUACUGCGUGCUGCUGCAUUCCAAGGGGCUCAUUAUAUUUCACCAUUGAAAAGGCAAAUAAUCUCGUAUGCAUCUGGUAACCAAGCUUGUACACUCGUUUAAGGAAGGUUCGGAGGAAUGGUCCAAGAAGGCGGUAGAGCUUGAGGAUUCAUGAAGACUUUAGAAUUUGGUUGUGGAAUUUCAAAAUUAUCUGUUUGUCUUAUGUCUUCAUGCAUGCUGG